AACCUUUACUAUAGCUUGACACUGAACAUUGAGCCUUGAUGUGUAGGAUAGGUGGGAGGCUUUGAAGCGUGGACGCCAGUCUGCGUGGAGCCAACCUUGAAAUACCACCCUUUAAUGUUUGAUGUUCUAACGUUGGCCCCUUACCGGGGUUGCGGACAGUGUCUGGUGGGUAGUUUGACUGGGGCGGUCUCCUCCCAAAGCGUAACGGAGGAGCACGAAGGUUAGCUAAUCCUGGUCGGACAUCAGGAGGUUAGUGCAAUGGCAUAAGCUAGCUUGACUGCGAGCGUGACGGCGCGAGCAGGUGCGAAAGCAGGUCAUAGUGAUCCGGUGGUUCUGAAUGGAAGGGCCAUCGCUCAACGGAUAAAAGGUACUCCGGGGAUAACAGGCUGAUACCGCCCAAGAGUUCAUAUCGACGGCGGUGUUUGGCACCUCGAUGUCGGCUCAUCACAUCCUGGGGCUGAAGUAGGUCCCAAGGGUAUGGCUGUUCGCCAUUUAAAGUGGUACGCGAGCUGGGUUUAGAACGUCGUGAGACAGUUCGGUCCCUAUCUGCCGUGGGCGCUGGAGAAUUGAGGGGGGCUGCUCCUAGUACGAGAGGACCGGAGUGGACGCAUCACUGGUGUUCGGGUUGUCAUGCCAAUGGCACUGCCCGGUAGCUAAAUGCGGAAGAGAUAAGUGCUGAAAGCAUCUAAGCACGAAACUUGCCCCGAGAUGAGUUCUCCCUGAGACUU
RNAcentral lists this ribosomal RNA (728 nucleotides) under Klebsiella pneumoniae. RNAcentral describes it as "partial 23S ribosomal RNA". It matches the Rfam family "Bacterial large subunit ribosomal RNA", at positions 2096 to 2823 of the family's 2925-position model. Lineage: Bacteria; Pseudomonadati; Pseudomonadota; Gammaproteobacteria; Enterobacterales; Enterobacteriaceae. The record is from RNAcentral.